Notothenia coriiceps (black rockcod) is the source of this 217-nucleotide long non-coding RNA. RefSeq lists it as uncharacterized. The record is from RefSeq and is a predicted model, not a curated record. The transcript has 3 exons. NCBI's taxonomy places the organism in Eukaryota, Metazoa, Chordata, Actinopteri, Perciformes, Nototheniidae.
GAAACACUAAAAGUGAGUGAGAUAAGUAAUGCGGUCAGAAUAAACGUUGUCUCUCAGCUGAUACACAGUGAAGCUACUGUAGAAACAUGGCGGUGCAAAGACUCUUUGAAGAGGAACCGCUCCCUGUGUAGAUAUGAAGCGCUCAUUCUGAGGGAACGAAAACACAGUUUCAGUCAAAGUUGUACGGAACCCCUGGGGUGGGGCGGGGGGGACUACU